UACAGAGGGUGCGAGCGUUAAUCGGAAUUACUGGGCGUAAAGCGUGCGUAGACGGUAGCGUAAGUCAGAUGUGAAAGCCCCGGGCUCAACCUGGGAAUUGCAUUUGAGACUGCUCUGCUCGGGUGCGGAAGAGGGAAGCGGAAUUUCCGGUGUAGCGGUGAAAUGCGUAGAUACCGGAAGGAACACCAGUGGCGAAAGCGGCUUCCUGGUCCGACACCGACGUUCAGGCACGAAAGCGUGGGGAGCAAACAGG
Molecule: ribosomal RNA, 253 nt
Filed under: uncultured bacterium
Lineage: Bacteria
Description: partial 16S ribosomal RNA
Rfam family: Bacterial small subunit ribosomal RNA
Source: RNAcentral